Non-coding RNA from Gymnopus androsaceus JB14, 97 nucleotides. The record is from the annotation of a GenBank genome assembly. Lineage: Eukaryota; Fungi; Basidiomycota; Agaricomycetes; Agaricales; Omphalotaceae.
UCCUUCUUAGCUCAGUUGGUAGAGCGCGUCACUAGUAGAUUGUAAAGUCUGGCAAGUUACUAUGACGAGGUCAGUCGUUCAAGUCGGCUAGAAGGAA